RNAcentral lists this microRNA precursor (126 nucleotides) under Myotis brandtii (Brandt's bat). RNAcentral's name for it is "mir-9193 microRNA precursor family". The record is from Rfam by way of RNAcentral. Lineage: Eukaryota; Metazoa; Chordata; Mammalia; Chiroptera; Vespertilionidae.
UGUGCACCAGUGGGGUCCCUCAGCCUGGCCUGUGCCUUCUUGCUAUCCAGGUCCCCUCAGGGGAUGUUAGAGAACUGGUUUCGGCCCAAUCCCACAGGCCAGGCUGAGGGACCCCACUGGUGCAUG